AUACGCGAUAUUUCUAACUCUAGCCUAAUUUUUAUACCGCCGUCCAAAGGGUAAAAUAUAAUAUUUUAUCCAUUCCAUACCCCUAUCAAGUAACAAUGUCAGGUCAAGGUGAAGUUUAUGCUCGAGUUUCAAUGAGUUAUUAAUAAAUGUAAUUUAUGGACUUUUGUUUAAAACCAAAAAUCGAAUUAAGAUUUAAAAGUAUUUUCAAUUCAAUACACUGAAAAGAAUAAGCAAAAAAGGUGUACAUAUCGCCCGUCGCCCUCGUCCAAAGAUGAGGUAAGUCGUAACACAGUUAAUAUACUGGAAAGUGUAUUAGGUGUAUUUCCUUUCAGCUUUUAGUAUUUCAUUUACACUGAAAAGAUAUCUUUUUCUUCUAAUCAACCUCAUUCACAAAAUCUUUGCGUUCUCACCCAUCUAGUUCAAAUCAAUAUAAACUGAAAAGGAUCCUCAUAAUAUUAUCAAAGUAAGUUCAUGUACCUUUUGUAUCAGGGAUUUUCAAACCACAAUGUUAAUUUCAAACUCCCGAAACAGGACGAACUUCGUAUUCUAGUAAAAGUUAUGGCAUAAACAAUAUAAACUUUACGAAGUUGAGAUAUUCUUUUCAAGUCCUCCUUUAUCUGGUUCACUCCAUCCUUUUUCUCAUCACAGUACAAAGAACAAGCUUAGUACCGAGUUUAUUUUCUUUUCCUUUUCCCAAUUUAGAUUUAACAGUAUCCACAUUGUUUUCAAACUCCGCUCCUCCCUUUUACUCUAACUAUCCCUUGAAUGACCUAUCUUAAUGCCCCUACAAUGAAAAUAUUAGUAAAAUUUAUCCUUUUCUCUAUCUUUAAAAUACUCCCCCUUCAUAAAUUUAUAUUAAAACUAUGAACUAGGCCCUCAAUCAAUUGACUGUUUACCAAAAACAUAGCUAAUAGACUUCAAUUACUAGUA
Molecule: ribosomal RNA, 930 nt
Filed under: Calisoga sp. D DHL-215
Lineage: Eukaryota; Metazoa; Arthropoda; Arachnida; Araneae; Nemesiidae
Description: partial 12S ribosomal RNA
Source: RNAcentral